This 2714-nucleotide unclassified non-coding RNA is filed under the name Actinia tenebrosa (Australian red waratah sea anemone). Its description in RNAcentral is "diencephalon/mesencephalon homeobox protein 1-like, transcript variant X2". Lineage: Eukaryota; Metazoa; Cnidaria; Anthozoa; Actiniaria; Actiniidae. The record is from RNAcentral.
AUAUAAAAAAGGACAAGAUACACGUAUAUAUAUGAAAUGGGAGUUCUAGUAUGAUCAGCCAAAUUUGAUCAGUUCUACUGCGAAGAUUCAGACCAUGGCAAACCUCGUUGAAUUGUCACCGGCCUACAUGCUUGAAGACACGUUUUAUCAUCGACAAUAGUAACCCCUUGUGUCACAAUAAUCAUUUAUAAUGAACUUUAAAAAGUACUACAAGAUCGUUUGGUUAAUCAGAACAUCAAUCAAGAACCUACACAAACACUGUUGAAUCAUCCUGUCAGCUUGAUUGCUUAAGAUGGCUUUGGUUGACAUUGACUCCACUUGAAAGUCUCACCGCCAGCAGAUAAUCGGCUUAGCCAACGGAAGGACGAUUAGUCUAUUGAAGAUCAAUCAGAUCGUCAUCUAUGACCAGUUUCUAAUAAAAUUUCUAGCAUGAAGUUCAUCAACCGUUUGACUAAUACUUUAUAGGGUUUCCAACUUGAAUCCUACACUAAGACCUGAAGAGUCAUUUCUAAAACUCAGCCAAAUCCACAUUAAAGAACUUUGAUAGGAUUUCAAUUAAGGGUGCCAUAACUAAAGGAUGUUUUUACGGAGGUAUCCUCGUCAAGCCUGUGUGAACUAAUUGUUAAGUCUGGAAACCAUGUCGGUGGUUAUGAGAUUACCAGAAAGCGGCUUCCCAAGAAUGAUUACUCAAUGAGGAGGAUGUGGCUUUAAAGACCUAUUUAUCGACCGAGUCGCUUUAGAACCAGGAUCUUACGACAACUAAGCGACUUACUCUCUGGAAGGAAGCUCUUUCUUCGGUCAAAACCUCAGUUUAACACGAUUAAAGAGCUUUGGCAAGGUAAUGGAAUAGUCCGUUCACAGCGUGAUGGUGUACUUCUACCAUAUUUGAUGAAGGUCUUGAAAGCCGAGGUUAUGGCAAAGACACCUUCAAAUUCUGAGUUCUCAAUAGACAGCAUCUUAAAGGGAACAAAAAGCGAGAGACUACCNUCUUCUCAUGAAGCACUGAUGUUGGCUGAGAAAAUGGCAGACAUCAUACUGAAGGUAGCAGAUGGUCGCAAGAUUCGACGCACGCGUACGACGUUCAACCAGUUUCAACUAGAAACACUUGAACGUGCGUUCUGUCGUACACACUACCCGGAUGUACUACUACGAGAACAGUUGGCACUUUAUACGAACCUGCCAGAAUCAAGAAUACAGGUUUGGUUCAAAAAUCGAAGAGCGAAAUAUCGCAAAGCUAAAGAAGCACUUAGUCACUCAUCGAUCGGAGACAAAAACGAGGACGAAAACGCGAUUGACAAGACCAUACAAACACCACUUCCAGACAGCACAGUAUCAUCCCAGCCUCCACCUAAGGAGACAGAGUAUAUUUUCCUGGAUAAAACCAAGGAUUUCCUACGAGCUGCUCAUGACCAGCCAAUACGUCCCACGCCNAUUCAUACGAGUGCACCGAUAUAUGGGUACCCAUACACGACCAUGGAUCCCUGGGGGUUCUCGAUGGACUGGCCUUAUCAUGGCAAUAGAAUCCUAGCGUAUCACCAACAGACAUCGUCUUACUGAAAAUGCACUUUCGUCGCGCUUCGUAAAGAACUUUCAUUCUUCCAUACUUCCAAAUGUUCUGAGGUUUUUUAAACCUGAUAUAGGGUACCCGAAAUGGUCUAUUGCGGUAUUGCACUGAUUUGAUCAGGAAUAUGUAGGUGUUUUCAUUUAGCCUUGUUUAUUCCUGUAUGUUUUAAUAGAUGAAAACUGAUUAGCCAUUCCAAAGUUGAGAAAAAGACUGGGUCGAGUUGGCAUUAAAGUGCAUAGACCAAAUUCAAAACUCGCACCGAUGUGAGGCUUAAGUUGUGAACAAAGGAAUCUGGCGUGACUCAAAGUAAUUUGGGGUGAUUCAAAAGUCACGAAUCACGCCAGAUUCCUUUGUUCACAACUUAAACCUCACAUCGGUGCGAGUUUUGAAUUUGGUCUAUUGUAGGGCUGUUUUUACAAGAUGGCAUNUAUUUCGUCCCCUAAAACAGUCCCACAAUGCACUGCAAAUCCAACUCGACCCAGUCUUUUACUCAAACUCGGAGAGACUAAUAAUAUGAAUGCUUUUAGGGAAAAGGUAGUUUACAAUGCAAAGAUUGAGUGAUUCUUGAGUAUAAGUUGUUCUUGGCAUAAGAUAAUUAUACUAAGGUUUCCAAAUUAUGGAUGAUUUCAGGAAUUUGUACUAUGAGGAAGCGGUUAUGAUUUAGGUAAUAGGAAGUAGGGUAGGAUAAAUAGUUUCUGAUGGACCAGCAAUUUUUAGCAAGAAACACUUAGGUUGGUAGGUUAGUUUGAGUUCUCNCAUCAAAAAUAUAAUAGAUUUCAAGGGGGGUCUACUAAAAUGGCAUCCUUUCAAAACUUAUACUACCUCCACUCAUAAAUUAUAGAUGCUUACUAAGGGAUUAUGAUGAUAUAAAGGUCACAGUAGUAACUUCUGCAGGAGACAUUCAAAUAUAAUAACUAGAGCAUAUAUAGUUCUGAACAAAUCCUAGACAUGAAGAGAUAAAGUAAGUCUCUGUGUAGUGUUGAGAGCCAUUGCCUUAUUUUUGUAGUUUAUAAUAUAGCAAAAAAUGUGUAUUCUUGUUUGUAGAUUUGGUAUUUGUAAGCUUGUAACAUUUGGUACUUUAGUAAGGAAAAGAAAAAGAAAAUUUAAAUAUAUUGAAAAGUAUUUUAUGUCACCUAAUAAAAUUUAUUUG